GCCUACGGGAGGCAGCAGUGGGGAAUAUUGCACAAUGGGGGAAACCCUGAUGCAGCGACGCCGCGUGAGUGAAGAAGUAAUUCGUUAUGUAAAGCUCUAUCAGCAGGGAAGAAAAUGACGGUACCUGAGUAAGAAGCCCCGGCUAACUACGUGCCAGCAGCCGCGGUAAUACGUAGGUGGCGAGCGUUGUCCGGAUUUACUGGGCGUAAAGGGAGCGUAGGCGGACUUUUAAGUGAGAUGUGAAAUACUCGGGCUCAACUUGAGUGCUGCAUUUCAAACUGGAAGUCUAGAGUGCAGGAGAGGAGAAUGGAAUUCCUAGUGUAGCGGUGAAAUGCGUAGAGAUUAGGAAGAACACCAGUGGCGAAGGCGAUUCUCUGGACUGUAACUGACGCUGAGGCUCGAAAGCGUGGGGAGCAAACAGGAUUAGAUACCCGGGUAGUC
Molecule: ribosomal RNA, 441 nt
Filed under: uncultured bacterium
Lineage: Bacteria
Description: partial 16S ribosomal RNA
Rfam family: Bacterial small subunit ribosomal RNA
Source: RNAcentral